RNAcentral lists this ribosomal RNA (350 nucleotides) under uncultured eukaryote. Its description in RNAcentral is "SSU rRNA". It matches the Rfam family "Eukaryotic small subunit ribosomal RNA", at positions 567 to 934 of the family's 1831-position model. The record is from RNAcentral.
CCAGCAGCUGCGGUAAUUCCAGCUCCAAUAGCGUAUAUUAAUGCUGCUGCAGUUGAAACGCUCGUAGUUGGACUUCUGGAUGAGUUGCUUGGUCGGCCUUUGGCUGUACCUUGCAGCUUGUCCUUUUGUCCAAGGAAGGCUUGCGCAAGUGAGUCUGACUUGGGCCAGUUACUUUGAGAAAAUUAGGGUGUUCAAAGCAGGCGUUUGCCUUGAAUACGUUAGCAUGGAAUAACGGAAUAGGACUUUGGUUCUAUUUUGUUGGUUGCUAGGACCGAAGUAAUGAUUAAUAGGGACAGUUGGGGGGCAUUCAUAUUUAAUUGUCAGAGGUGAAAUUCUUGGAUUUAUUAAAG